AGUGAACGCUGGCGGUAGGCCUAACACAUGCAAGUCGAACGGCCGCACAGUAAGAGCUUGCUCUUACGGGUGGCGAGUGGCGGACGGGUGAGGAAUACAUCGGAAUCUACUUUUUCGUGGGGGAUAACGUAGGGAAACUUCCGCUAAUACCGCAUACGACCUACGGGUGAAGGCAGGGGAUCUUCGGACCUUGCGCGAUUGAAUGAGCCGAUGUCGGAUUAGCUAGUUGGCGGGGUAAAGGCCCACCAAGGCGACGAUCCGUAGCUGGUCUGAGAGGAUGAUCAGCCACACUGGAACUGAGACACGGUCCAGACUCCUACGGGAGGCAGCAGUGGGGAAUAUUGGACAAUGGGCGCAAGCCUGAUCCAGCCAUACCGCGUGGGUGAAGAAGGCCUUCGGGUUGUAAAGCCCUUUUGUUGGGAAAGAAAAGCAGCAGGUUAAUACCCCGCUGUUCUGACGGUACCCAAAGAAUAAGCACCGGCUAACUUCGUG
This 492-nucleotide ribosomal RNA is filed under the name uncultured bacterium. RNAcentral describes it as "partial 16S ribosomal RNA". It matches the Rfam family "Bacterial small subunit ribosomal RNA", at positions 29 to 507 of the family's 1533-position model. The record is from RNAcentral.